RNAcentral lists this ribosomal RNA (497 nucleotides) under uncultured bacterium. RNAcentral's name for it is "partial 16S ribosomal RNA". It matches the Rfam family "Bacterial small subunit ribosomal RNA", at positions 28 to 507 of the family's 1533-position model. The record is from RNAcentral.
GAUGAACGCUGGCGGCGUGCCUAAUACAUGCAAGUCGAGCGAACGGAUGAGAAGCUUGCUUCUCUGAUGUUAGCGGCGGACGGGUGAGUAACACGUGGAUAACCUACCUAUAAGACUGGGAUAACUUCGGGAAACCGGAGCUAAUACCGGAUAAUAUUUUGAACCGCAUGGUUCAAAAGUGAAAGACGGUCUUGCUGUCACUUAUAGAUGGAUCCGCGCUGCAUUAGCUAGUUGGUAAGGUAACGGCUUACCAAGGCAACGAUGCAUAGCCGACCUGAGAGAGUGAUCGGCCACACUGGAACUGAGACACGGUCCAGACUCCUACGGGAGGCAGCAGUAGGGAAUCUUCCGCAAUGGGCGAAAGCCUGACGGAGCAACGCCGCGUGAGUGAUGAAGGUCUUCGGAUCGUAAAACUCUGUUAUUAGGGAAGAACAUAUGUGUAAGUAACUGUGCACAUCUUGACGGUACCUAAUCAGAAAGCCACGGCUAACUACGUG